UGGAUUGUAGCUCAGUGGCAGAGCGAUGGUCUUAUAAGCCAUGUGUCGCAAGUUCGAUUCUUGUCAAUCCAA
RNAcentral lists this transfer RNA (72 nucleotides) under Dorea sp. CAG:317. It matches the Rfam family "tRNA". From Rfam's summary of the family: Transfer RNA (tRNA) molecules are approximately 80 nucleotides in length. The record is from Rfam by way of RNAcentral. Lineage: Bacteria; Bacillati; Bacillota; Clostridia; Lachnospirales; Lachnospiraceae.